Molecule: ribosomal RNA, 384 nt
Filed under: uncultured bacterium
Lineage: Bacteria
Description: bacterial SSU rRNA
Rfam family: Bacterial small subunit ribosomal RNA
Source: RNAcentral
UACAGAGGGUGCAAGCGUUAAUCAGAAUGACUGGGCGUAAAGGGCGUGUAGGUGGUUGACUAGGUUUGAUGUGAAAUCCCCGGGCUUAACCUGGGAAUUGCGUCGAAAACGGGUCGACUGGAGUGAGAUAGAGGGUUGUGGAAUUUCCGGUGUAGCGGUGAAAUGCGUAGAUAUCGGAAAGAACAUCAGUGGCGAAGGCGACAACCUGGAUCUUAACUGACACUGAGGCGCGAAGGCGUGGGGAGCAAACAGGAUUAGAUACCCUGGUAGUCCACGCAGUAAACGAUGAGAACUGGCUGUGAUGUGUAGGGAGCAAUCUCUGCAUGACGUAGCGAAGCUAACGCGUUAAGUUCUCCGCCUGGGGAGUACGGCCGCAAGGUUAAA